Molecule: ribosomal RNA, 459 nt
Filed under: uncultured bacterium
Lineage: Bacteria
Description: partial 16S ribosomal RNA
Rfam family: Bacterial small subunit ribosomal RNA
Source: RNAcentral
CCUACGGGAGGCAGCAGUGAGGAAUAUUGGUCAAUGGGAGAGAUCCUGAACCAGCCAAGCCGCGUGAGGGAAGACGGCCCUAUGGGUUGUAAACCUCUUUUGUCGGAGAACAAAACCCGGGACGUGUCCCGGACUGCGUGUAUCCGAAGAAACAGCAUCGGCUAACUCCGUGCCAGCAGCCGCGGUAAUACGGAGGAUGCGAGCGUUAUCCGGAUUUAUUGGGUUUAACGGGCGCGUAGGCGGUCCGUUAAGUCAGCGGUAAACUUGCGGGGCUCAACCCCGUCGAGCCGUUGAAACUGGCAGACUUGAGUGGGCGAGAAGGACGCGGAAUGCGCGGUGUAGCGGUGAAAUGCAUAGAUAUCGCGAAGAACUCCGAUUGCGAAGGCAGCGUACCGGCGCCAGACUGACGCUGAGGCACGAAAGCGUGGGGAUCGAACAGGAUUAGAUACCCCUGUAGUC